AACCAUCAGAAGAAUUACAACAUAACUGUUUAGAAGUAAUUGAGACCCAAAUCAAGAAACAGCUGUGAGAACUGCUGAAAAAGGAUGGACGCACGUGUCGCGAAUAAAAGGUCCAGUGAAGGAGUGGAAAAUGACAUCUGAGCCAGGAGAAACUAAA
Molecule: long non-coding RNA, 157 nt
Organism: Aquila chrysaetos chrysaetos
Lineage: Eukaryota; Metazoa; Chordata; Aves; Accipitriformes; Accipitridae
Exons: 2
Source: RefSeq, a predicted model, not a curated record